UGAGCAAGGAGGUAGCAUCACAGAACUAACCCAAAUCUAGUAGGAAUUCACUAAUUUCUUUAAACAACUCUUAGGAACUGCAGUAAGUGAAUUGCCUUGAAUCAAUAUUGGCAUAGCAAGAGAUGGUCCUUUCCUGAACAUUGAGUAAUAGAAAUAAUUAAUGCAAGAAGUGAUAGAGUAGGAGAUCUUGUAGACAGUUCAACACCUUUUUUACGACGAGGUGCCAGGUAUUGAUGGAU
Molecule: long non-coding RNA, 239 nt
Filed under: Capsicum annuum
Lineage: Eukaryota; Viridiplantae; Streptophyta; Magnoliopsida; Solanales; Solanaceae
Description: long non-coding RNA (CANN_LNC008228)
Source: RNAcentral